GACGAACGCUGGCGGCGUGCUUAACACAUGCAAGUCGAACGGAAAGGCCCUGCUUUUGUGGGGUGCUCGAGUGGCGAACGGGUGAGUAACACGUGAGUAACCUGCCCUUGACUUUGGGAUAACUUCAGGAAACUGGGGCUAAUACCGGAUAGGAGCUCCUGCUGCAGGGUGGGGGUGGGAAAGUUUCGGCGGUUGGGGAUGGACUCGCGCCUUAUCAGCUUGUUGGUGGGGUAGUGGCUUACCAAGGCUUGGACGGGUAGCCGGCCUGAGAGGGUGACCGGCCACAUUGGGACUGAGAUACGGCCCAGACCCCUACGGGAGGCAGCAGUGGGGAAUAUUGCACUAUGGGCGGAAGCCUGAUGCAGCCACGCCGCGUGCGGGAUGACGGCCUUCGGGUUGUAUACCGCUUCCGCCUGUCAAGAAGCGUGAGUGACGGUAAUGGGUAAAGAAGCACCGGCUAACUACGUG
RNAcentral lists this ribosomal RNA (468 nucleotides) under uncultured bacterium. RNAcentral's name for it is "partial 16S ribosomal RNA". It matches the Rfam family "Bacterial small subunit ribosomal RNA", at positions 28 to 507 of the family's 1533-position model. The record is from RNAcentral.